UACGGAGGGAGCUAGCGUUGUUCGGAAUUACUGGGCGCAAAGCGCGCGUAGGCGGCUUUGUAAGUUAGAGGUGAAAGCCCGGGGCUCAACCCCGGAACUGCCUUUAAAACUGCAUCGCUUGAAUCCGGGAGAGGUGAGUGGAAUUCCGAGUGUAGAGGUGAAAUUCGUAGAUAUUCGGAAGAACACCAGUGGCGAAGGCGGCUCACUGGACCGGUAUUGACGCUGAGGUGCGAAAGCGUGGGGAGCAAACAGG
RNAcentral lists this ribosomal RNA (253 nucleotides) under uncultured bacterium. RNAcentral's name for it is "partial 16S ribosomal RNA". It matches the Rfam family "Bacterial small subunit ribosomal RNA", at positions 524 to 776 of the family's 1533-position model. The record is from RNAcentral.